Mizuhopecten yessoensis (Yesso scallop) is the source of this 2677-nucleotide long non-coding RNA. RefSeq lists it as uncharacterized. Lineage: Eukaryota; Metazoa; Mollusca; Bivalvia; Pectinida; Pectinidae. The transcript has 6 exons. The record is from RefSeq and is a predicted model, not a curated record.
UCUACUAAAUAUAGCUAUUUAGGACUUGAGGAUCAAUAUUAGCGUUUACACAGCAGCAGCAACACCAGACUCGUCUGAUCCUGCACUACGGCGACUCCAGGGGAAGGAACAUCAAAUACAGGCAUGGCUACUUGUCAAGAUUAUCGGAAUAGGUAUCCCUACAUAAGACUGCACUCGAGAACCUGUCAUCGUUGAGUAAAGUUGAAAACACAGACGACGAAAGAAGACCAGGGACGGUUGAGAGACAUAUGUAGUCGGCAUUCAAAAUUGUGUUGGAAAGGUAGAAAAUGGGUAGAUGAAAUAUCUAUGGACAUGCACAUGUCAUCGACAAAUGUAAAAGUUGCUACAGCAUCUGCUGUAGUGUACAUGGGCUGGACAUCGUAAGAGUCCCAUACAAGUGGAUUUAAAUUUUGAACGAGAAUAGGGUUAUCGAACAUGUAUGUUGUUGUGAAAAUCGUUGCGUUGUUGUCAAUAGCUUUACUUCUGUUAAUUAGUUCAAUACAUGGUUAUAAUAUUGCUAACUUGCCAUUUGGCAUUUUCUUUAAAACAGCUGUGACAAGUGUCUGGAGCUUUUGUAGGGGCAUUCCUGUUAGCUGUCUGAACGAUUGUUCUCUUGAAAAAGUCAAAAUGAAUAGGGUACUGAUAUUUAACAGACUAUAACAAUGCAUGUAUGUACUGUAGUGUUAUGAUGUAAUGUUAAGACUAAGUUUGCAAUCAACAUUUGACAAUCAGCAAAUUAGAAAUAUUGUACAGGUUUACAUAAUUUUUCUGCGACUGUAAGUUAUUCCUGGUAAAAGUAGACUUGAAUGAUUGGAGUUUCAUUGUUUUGAUUUGACAGAAUUUGAAUGGAGAAAGCACUAGCCAUGCGCGACUUGGUAUUAUCUUAUCAAAAACUAUGGAAAGUAUUUUUACCAAAUAUUAUAUUUUGCAGUUACUUGUUUGAGAUGCGUCCAAUCGGUAAGAUAUUGCUUUCAGCAGAGUUUGUCAGUUUGUCACAUUGUUUUCAAAAAAAAGUUUAUUUUGGGGGUAAUGGCGGUUGGGGGAGGGGGGCAUAACAUUGGCAGAAAUGUACUGCUUUUACAUUUUAUCUUUCAGUUUUGAUUGAUUAGGAAUUUAUGCAAGGCUGAUAUUUCUGUCCAUAAUGUUUUGUAAUGUAAAUCUCCAUUUCCUUUUUUUGUGUCUGAGGGCGGAGCUACAAUUUGUUGAAAAUGAUAUCUCCGGCGACCAUUUCCUGCUGCCUUGACAAUUGGUAUCCAUUGUAGAUGCUGAAGCUGUUGACAGAUGUCCUGGGCUGGUAUUGAAGUCAUUGACAUGUGCCCAUGGUAAAUACUUGGACUGUUGACAGAAGUCCUUAGCUGGUAUUGGAGUCCUGUUGAUAUUAUUAUUAUUGUUAUUACAGAUGCUGGUGCUGCUAAAAUAUGUCCUUUGCUGGUAUUGAAGUCAUUGACACGUGUUUUGCUGAAGCUGUUUGGCAGUUGUUCCUGGAUGCUCUUCGGAUAUUGGUCACUCUCAGAAGAAACCUUCUUUGGAAGUGUUGGACAAUCAUCUAGAAAAGGCCGUUUUUGUUUCCUUCAUCACUGAAGAUGUAGAUGGCAUUAGAAUUGGAUGUGCAGGCAUCCUUUUUUAGAACGUCUUCUUUGUUCAUCCAUACAAGCAAAUCACGAUAUCUUGGAUCAAGAACUAUUGCCUUCUCGCUCAACGCAGUUAGAUGCAAGUUUUUUUUACUCGAAUCAAAGCAGCAUAUGCCUGUCCACUUGCAAAGAAAGAUGGACCAAGAUGAACAGUCGCUGUUUCCAACGUCAUGCCUUGGACUUUAUGAACUGUUAAUGCCCAUCCAAGCAGUAAACGGAUUGUUCUCUUAUGACUCCUGCAGUACUGUUCUUGUAAGCCAGAUUUCGCUUCAUCCUGGUUAUUAAUGUUGUUUUUUGUAAUGUUUGAUGUUGUAUUUGGAUGAAGCUAUCGCUGAUAUCCUUUACAAAUGCCAGAGUUCCAUUUACCCAUCCACUAGCAACAUUGAUGUUUUUUUCAAAGUAGGACCUGUACUCCAAUUUUGGGUGUAAUGACAUCUGGUAGUCGUUCUCGGUGAUAACGAACGAUGCAUGUCCGUUGCCGUCAGUGUCAUUGGCAUGAAAUGAGAACUCUUCUCAAAUGUGUUGCUGCAAGAAGAAUGCAUUCCAUUGAUCCCUUUCUUUUCGUAGAGAGACAAUGAUUGGAGUUGGCAGAUUAAUGAAUUAAGUAUCUGGGACAAGGCGCUGUUGCAGCAUCUGCUUAUGGACUGUUGUUAGUUCAACAAGCCCGAUGCUGUUUAGCAUUUCUAGGUAGUUGUCAUCUUUCUGCCUCUUCACUUCUUUCAGCAGCAAUAUCUUGAACUGCUUUCCUCUUAAUGGCUUUUUUAAAUUCUGGGACGCUUCAAUAAGUCAACACAGAUUGUCCAGUUUCUGAAGUACUGCUUUUUCCAUCCAGGGGAAUUCAUCGACAAUGAGGAUCUCAGCAUUGUGCACCAAAGCAUACUCUGAUGUUCGCUUUUCUAGAUAGAAGUUGCACUCAAUGUUCAUUUUAAGGAAAUUGUGGAUUGUUUCUCCCUUGUUGAGGAAACAGCUUACCAUCUACUAUUAGAAAGUCAAAUACCCUCGCCAAGUUCAAGAGGGACAUCAAAACUCACCUCUUCACGUCUGCA